RNAcentral lists this long non-coding RNA (677 nucleotides) under Homo sapiens (human). RNAcentral's name for it is "HSALNT0321102". Lineage: Eukaryota; Metazoa; Chordata; Mammalia; Primates; Hominidae. The record is from RNAcentral.
GUUUUGAGGUAACUCUUCUACUAGACAACAUUUUAAAGUAGUAACUAUUUUUCUCAUUGCUAUUAACCAAGCCACACAUUAAUGCCGAGCUUCUGUUAAGUAAAAAAUAACUAGGGAUACCAGACUGAGUUUUUCAGCCCAGUCAGAAGAAAAGCAAUUUGACAUACUGUUACCCUUUGCAGUCUUAGCAAGAGAAAGACAAUGCGCUUGUUUAUUGUCUAAAUUAGCACUUUGCCCCUGAUACUCCUCAAAGCUGAAAGACCCUCUAAGAUCAAGAACUGAUGAAGGCUAUAGAAAAAUGUGCUGCUCAAAAGGAGAUUUCCAUCUCGAAAAGGCAAAUUACUGGGAAAAAUGAAUCUGUUUUCUCUGCCAAGCAUUGGAGACAUAGAAGGAGACUGCCUCCUGCUGGGGUCAGUAUUUUCUGCAUCCCAUGAACGGAAGUGAGAACAGCCUUGGGAGCUAAUGCCGAAGGUGGGAGAAUCUGAUGCCCUCAGUCUCCAGUGAACUAAAGCUGAAGAAGACUCAGAUUUCUGACACAAUGGUAACACCUAUCCCUUCUGCCUGUGACUGCCAGGGCUUGCUGUAUGAUGAUAAGAAGAGAAUGUGACACAGAGGAAGGGGAAAAAGUCCAUCCCUCUGCCGCCUCCCUGCUUCAAGUUGUCCUGCCUUUCCCGACG